This 397-nucleotide ribosomal RNA is filed under the name uncultured bacterium. RNAcentral's name for it is "partial 16S ribosomal RNA". It matches the Rfam family "Bacterial small subunit ribosomal RNA", at positions 523 to 918 of the family's 1533-position model. The record is from RNAcentral.
AUACGUAGGUGGCAAGCGUUGUCCGGAAUUAUUGGGCGUAAAGCGCGCGCAGGCGGUCCUUUAAGUCUGAUGUGAAAGCCCACGGCUCAACCGUGGAGGGUCAUUGGAAACUGGGGGACUUGAGUGCAGAAGAGGAAAGUGGAAUUCCAAGUGUAGCGGUGAAAUGCGUAGAGAUUUGGAGGAACACCAGUGGCGAAGGCGACUUUCUGGUCUGUAACUGACGCUGAGGCGCGAAAGCGUGGGGAGCAAACAGGAUUAGAUACCCUGGUAGUCCACGCCGUAAACGAUGAGUGCUAAGUGUUGGGGGGUUUCCGCCCCUCAGUGCUGCAGCUAACGCAUUAAGCACUCCGCCUGGGGAGUACGGUCGCAAGACUGAAACUCAAAUGAAUUGACGGGG